Molecule: ribosomal RNA, 429 nt
Filed under: Bacteroidota bacterium
Lineage: Bacteria; Pseudomonadati; Bacteroidota
Description: Bacteroidetes bacterium partial 16S ribosomal RNA
Rfam family: Bacterial small subunit ribosomal RNA
Source: RNAcentral
UAGGGAAUCUUCCGCAAUGGGCGAAAGCCUGACGGAGCAACGCCGCGUGAGUGAUGAAGGUCUUCGGAUCGUAAAACUCUGUUAUUAGGGAAGAACAAAUGUGUAAGUAACUAUGCACAUCUUGUCGGUACCUAAUCAGAAAGCCACGGCUAACUACGUGCCAGCAGCCGCGGUAAUACGUAGGUGGCAAGCGUUAUCCGGAAUUAUUGGGCGUAAAGCGCGCGUAGGCGGUUUUUUAAGUCUGAUGUGAAAGCCCACGGCUCAACCGUGGAGGGUCAUUGGAAACUGGAAAACUUGAGUGCAGAAGAGGAAAGUGGAAUUCCAUGUGUAGCGGUGAAAUGCGCAGAGAUAUGGAGGAACACCAGUGGCGAAGGCGACUUUCUGGUCUGUAACUGACGCUGAUGUGCGAAAGCGUGGGGAUCAAACAGG